CACGUGAGUGUAAGCGAAUCCCAAAAAUAAACGUCUCAGUUCGGAUUGUAGUCUGCAACUCGACUACAUGAAGCUGGAAUCGCUAGUAAUCGCGAAUCAGAAUGUCGCGGUGAAUACGUUCCCGGGUCUUGUACACACCGCCCGUCACACCAUGAGAGUUGGGAUACCCGAAGCCUGUGAGCCAACUAUAUAGAGGCAGCAGUCGAAGGUAGAAUCAAUGAUUGGGGUGAAGUCGUAACAAGGUAAC
RNAcentral lists this ribosomal RNA (247 nucleotides) under uncultured bacterium. Its description in RNAcentral is "partial 16S ribosomal RNA". It matches the Rfam family "Bacterial small subunit ribosomal RNA", at positions 1254 to 1500 of the family's 1533-position model. The record is from RNAcentral.